AAGUUCUCUUUACCUCACUAGGUUUCAUUUUUUUAAAAGAAAGGAUCAAUUAUCUGCUGUUUGAAAGAGUAGCAGUAAAGCUGUUAUAGCCAAUGCUGGUUAUAAGGAUACAAGAGAUGGGCAUUACAGAGAGAAAGAAGAUAAUUAUUAAACCUAUACUUGACAAAUGGGCAAGGUCUUGGGCUAACAACUUUCUAGCAGGGGGACAUGCAUAAGAGAAAUAUACAUUGGCUUGAACAUAGAUUCUCUUAAAGGCAGAUGGAAAGGAUUGUUUCUUUUAUACUUUCCCUCAUGAACAACUAAUUCUGCUAAUCCUGCAUGCUUUCACCUCCUGUGCUCCUCACGUUUUACCAUGGAUCCAGUGGGAGUCAUUCACCACUCAACAGCAACAGCAAGCAAGAGGACUUGAAAGAUUUUAUAAUGGAAGGAAACAGUUCUUUCAGUCUUAUCUUUGGCCAGUGAACAACAACGACCUAUAUUUAUGGCCUAUUUAUGGCCUAUUAACAUCUGCAAACAAGAAAAUUCAUGAUAUCAAGAAUUUUUAUGAGCUGCAUAUUUAUUCAACUUCUUGUGUCAUUUUGUAACUUUUGGAAGUUCAUUUUCAGUUUCUCAUAAUUCAUGAAAAAUCAAAUUUAGCUGGGAAACAAACAUUACAAACCAGCACUAAAGGAAAAAGUAAGUCUAACAAGCAGUUUGGACAUUUACUUUUAAUUGUUUUUGUGUGUGUGCAAUUGCUACGUACUUUCCAAUGGAGAAGAGAAGUGGAUGUUGAACAUACAUGCUUUCAAAUAAAGAAGGUCAGUCAUCUCUUAAGCUUUCCUAA
This 823-nucleotide long non-coding RNA is filed under the name Numida meleagris (helmeted guineafowl). RNAcentral's name for it is "lncRNA (ENSNMEG00000021221.1)". Lineage: Eukaryota; Metazoa; Chordata; Aves; Galliformes; Numididae. The record is from RNAcentral.